Molecule: ribosomal RNA, 459 nt
Filed under: uncultured bacterium
Lineage: Bacteria
Description: partial 16S ribosomal RNA
Rfam family: Bacterial small subunit ribosomal RNA
Source: RNAcentral
CCUACGUGUGGCAGCAGUGAGGAAUAUUGGUCAAUGGGCGCGAGCCUGAACCAGCCAAGUCGCGUGAGGGAAGACGGUCCUCUGGAUUGUAAACUUCUUUUGUCGGGGAGCAACAGACGCCACGCGUUGCGUUCCGAGAGUACCCGACGAAAAAGCAUCGGCUAACUCCGUGCCAGCAGCCGCGGUAAUACGGAGGAUGCGAGCGUUAUCCGGAUUUAGUGGUGUUAAGGGGUGCGCAGGCGGAAGAUCAAGUCAGUGGGAAAAUUUAGGGGCUCAACCCCUUCGAGCCGUUGAAACUGGUUAUCUUGAGUGAGCGAGAAGUAUGCGGAAUGCGUGGUGUAGCGGUGAAAUGCAUAGAUAGCACGCAGAACUCCGAUUGCGAAGGCAGCAUACCGGCGCUCAACUGACGCUGAUGCACGAAAGUGUGGGUAGCGAACAGGAUUAGAUACCCCAGUAGUC